CAGCAGCCGCGGUAAUUCGUAGGGUGCUAGGGUUGUCCGGAUUUACUGGGUGUAAAGGGUGCUCAGGUGGGUUUGUAAGUCAGAGGUGAAAUCCCAAAGCUUAACUUUGGAGCUGCCUUUGAUACUGCAAGUCUAGAGUUUGAGAGAGGGCAAUGGAAUAUCUGGUGUAGCAGUGAAAUGCGUAGAUAUCAGAUAGAACACCAAUGGCGAAGGCAGUUGCCUGGCUCAUAACUGACGCUAAAGAACGAAAGUGUGGGGAGCAAACAGGAUUAGAUACCCUGGUAGUCCACACCCUAAACGAUGAAUACUAGAUGUUGGUCCUUUUUAGGAUCAGUAUCCAAGCUAACGCAUUAAGUAUUCCACCUGGGAAGUACAAUCGCAAGGUUGAAACUCAAAGGAAUUGACGG
This 407-nucleotide ribosomal RNA is filed under the name uncultured bacterium. RNAcentral's name for it is "bacterial SSU rRNA". It matches the Rfam family "Bacterial small subunit ribosomal RNA", at positions 509 to 916 of the family's 1533-position model. The record is from RNAcentral.